This is a long non-coding RNA of Rhinichthys klamathensis goyatoka, 131 nucleotides long. RefSeq lists it as uncharacterized. The transcript is spliced from 2 exons. The record is from RefSeq and is a predicted model, not a curated record. Lineage: Eukaryota; Metazoa; Chordata; Actinopteri; Cypriniformes; Leuciscidae.
AAAAACACUUUAAAAGGACUCAGGAAGUGACAUCAUCAUGUUGGGAAAUCAGCAGCACAAACAUCAUCAGUCCUGUCCUCCAGCCAAUGGUUAUGUCAUGGGUCUGACCUCUGACUUUUGACCUCACAGCG